Molecule: ribosomal RNA, 489 nt
Filed under: Craterellus strigosus
Lineage: Eukaryota; Fungi; Basidiomycota; Agaricomycetes; Cantharellales; Hydnaceae
Description: eukaryotic LSU rRNA
Rfam family: Eukaryotic large subunit ribosomal RNA
Source: RNAcentral
GAGGGAAGAGCUCAGUUUUGAAAUCUGGCAGUGUUUAUACCUGUCCGAGUUGUAAAUUGAAGAGAAUGUCAUCCAUGCUGGACCACGUCUAAAUUGUAAUGAUCCACAGUCCUUUGAUGGAGUAUCAGAGAGGGUAAUAAUCCCGUCUUUAACGUGGACUGCCAGUGUUGAUGUGAUGCACUCUCUCAGAGUCGAGUAGUUUGGGAAUGCUGCUCUAAUGGGAGGUAAACUCCUUCUAAAGCUAAAUAUUGGCGAGAGACCGAUAGCGAACAAGUACCGUGAGGGAAAGAUGAAAAGAACUCUGAAAAGAGAGUCAAACAGAACGUGAAAUUGCUGAAAGGGAAGCAUUUGGAGUCAGAUGCAUCCUCAUGUUUUUACCACUUGUUGGUGACUUGGGGAUGGGCCAGGACUCACGUAGACCAUUGGAGAAGGGGUCAUGGAAUGUAGCUCGUCUUGAGUGAUUAUAGCCUUGAUUCGUAUGCAAUGGUG